ACGGGUAUAGCUUAAUGGAUAGAGCACUGGUCUACGAAAUCAGGUUCGUAUGGGUUCGACUCCCUUUAUCCGUA
RNAcentral lists this transfer RNA (74 nucleotides) under Eubacterium sp. RNAcentral's name for it is "tRNA-Arg". It matches the Rfam family "tRNA". From Rfam's summary of the family: Transfer RNA (tRNA) molecules are approximately 80 nucleotides in length. Lineage: Bacteria; Bacillati; Bacillota; Clostridia; Eubacteriales; Eubacteriaceae. The record is from RNAcentral.